Non-coding RNA from Rattus norvegicus (Norway rat), 7606 nucleotides. Lineage: Eukaryota; Metazoa; Chordata; Mammalia; Rodentia; Muridae. The record is from RefSeq and is a predicted model, not a curated record.
UCUCUUCUUUUGGUUUUCUAUAUCCAGGGUUGUUUCCAUGUGUUCUUUCUUGAUUGCUUCUAUUUCCAUUUUUAAUUCCUUCAACUGUUUGAUUGUGUUUUCCUGGAAUUCUUUCAGGGAUUUUUGUGUCUCCUCUCUAUGGGCUUCUACUUGUUUAUUUAUGUUUUCCUGGAAUUCUUUCAGGGAUUUUUGUGUCUCCUCUCUAUGGGCUUCUACUUGUUUAUUUAUGUUUUCCUGGAAUUCUUUCAGGGAUUUUUGCGAUUCUUUCAGGCAUUUUUGCGAUUCCUCUCUGUAGGCUUCUACUUGUUCUCUAAGGGAGUUCUUCACGUCUUUCUUGAAGUCCUCCAGCAUCAUGAUCAAAAAUGAUUUUGAAACUAGAUCUUGCUUUUCUGGUGUGUUUGGAUAUUCCAUGUUUGUUUUGAUGGGAGAAUUGGGCUCCGAUGGUGCCAUGUAGUCUUGGUUUCUGUUGCUUGGGUUCCUGUGCUUGCCUCUUGCCAUCAGAUUAUCUCUAGUGUUACUUUGUUCUGCUAUUUCUGACAGUGGCUAGACUGUCCUAUAAGCCUGUGUGUCAGGAGUGCUGUAGACCUGUUUUCCUCUCUUUCAGUCAGUUAUGGGGACAGAGUGUUCUGCUUUCAGGCGUGUAGUUUUUCCUCUCUACAGGUCUUCAGCUGUUCCUGUGGGCCUGUGUCUUGAGUUCACCAGGCAGCUUUCUUGCAGCAGAAAAGUUGGUCUUACCUGUGGUCCCGAGGCUCAAGUUCGCUCGUGGGGUGCUGCUCACGGGCUCUCUGCAGCGGCAGCAACCAGGAAGACUUGUGCCGCCGUUUCCGGGAGCUUCAGUGCACCAGGGUUCCAGAUGGUCUUUGGCUUUUUCCUCUGGCGUCCGAGAUGUGUGUGCAGAGAGCAGUCUCUUCCGGUUUCACAGGCUUGUCUGCCUCUCUGAAGGUUCAGCUCUCCCUCCCACGGGAUUUGGGUGCAGAGAACUGUUUAUCCGGUCUGUUUCCUUCAGGUUCUGGUGGUGUCUCAGGCAGGGGUCCUGCCGCUCCUGGGCCCUCCCCCAUGGGAGCCCAGAGGCCUUAUACAGUUUCCUCUUGGGCCAGGGAUGUGGGCAGGGGUGAGCAGUGUUGGUGGUCUCUUCCGCUCUGCAGCCUCAGGAGUGCCCACCUGACCAGGCGGUUGUGUCUCUCUCUCACCUACAGAAAUACUUUUAAUAGUUCACUAAAGCACCUUGGUGCAGGCUACAGAGGCCAAAAGGAGGCUGUUAAGCAAAGCCCUCUCUGCACGAUAUGGCUGUUAGGUCGGUGGUUUUAUGUGAAACACGGAAGCCCUGUCCACGUUGCAGCAUGUAGCUGAGAAGAAAACGAAGAUAGCAUGGCCCAUAGCUCACAGCUUCCUCUCAUGCUCAGGAAUUGCCACCAGUGCCAUUACAUUGGCCUCCUCUCAUAUGCCUCUGGAAACCACAUGUGGCUGGCCUCUGUUUGUAACAGUUUGGCUAUGGUUGCUGGCUCCUCUUGGACAUGUUUUUAGAACUUAAAGAAACAAAGGUUUAUUAGGACAUAUUUAAAAUAAAACUAUUCUCUUCUCAUUUAGUAUACAGUUGGUUCUUCCAAUUUCUUCAGUCAAACUUAUUUUAUUGAUCAAACUUACACUUUGAGAAAUCCAGACAUGUAUGUAGUGUAUUUGGGCUAUUCUCACCCUCCCCCACAUUCCCUUAUCUCCCUUUCAGCCCUGACACCCUCGAACUUCCCUGUGGACCUAGUCACACAUUCAUGUCUUUUUGUUUUAUAACCAUUGAUUUUAACCAGGGCCAUCUGUAUGACCAUGGCUUUAGAAUUAUCUACUGGAAUUGGUUGGCUUAAAAUAGACAAUGAGUUUCCCUUCCCCCAAAUCCACCAUAGCUAAGGGUUCAGCCCCUCCAGCCCUGUCCCCAAACUAUGAUUGACUGUUAGACAGUCCGGUUUUAUGCAGGCCCAGUGCUGGUAUCUGCAGCUACUGUGAGAUCACACCCUGAGGGUACAUAGCCCUUUUCCCUGCCUUCUAUUUCCAUGUCUACUGUGUUCCCUGAGCCCUAGUUGGGGUAGUAUGAAUGCCCACCCAUCCAGGUGACAGUAUAUGUGUUCACUGAGAUAAAACAAAGACAAUAACCAAUAGGAAACAUAUUAUAAGCAUUGCACAUGCUACAUAAUGUAGAGAAUAAGAAAAAAUCAAACAGUGCUGUAUAAAUUCAAGAUCAUCGCUCUAUGUCAGUGUCAGAAGUCUAUCAGUUCCAAAGAAUUUGUAUCAAUGUUAAGUUAGAAAUGAUCCACUCCUGUUUGCUGUACAAUGGAUUUGUUCAGAUGGCCAACAAUACAAAAAAUGAAAAAGCAAGGUAUAAAGAAUCUAAAGUGAAUAUGCUCUGUGAGACAAUUGCAAACCUCUUAUGGGUAUUACUACAUAGCAAGACAAUAGAGACUAUCUCGUCUUUGGCUAUGUAUUCAGCUUGAACAUUGUAGGGGGUGGCUUGUAGUUUUGACUUAGAACCCUUGAAGAGCUGAGAAGUGUGUCUUUGGCUUUAUCAGAUCCAGCUAUGGAAAAUUAGCAAUCAAUACAUGCCUGGAAUUGAGAUUUUAGAUAGACGGAUGCUGUUAUAAUUAGGAAAUAGGCUGUAAUAUUAUGUUAAGAAUUUCCCUUUUUGUAUGUUUGCAUAACUACAUGUUACCUUUCAAUGUAAGCUUUUCAGUCACAUUAUUAAGUCUAAUUGAGUUAAGAUAGCAGGCAGAGUAGUGGAAAGAGAUCUGCUAGAUUGUCUUAAAUAGCAUUUUCUAUUGCUGGUGUGCUCUGUAAUUAGCCAGCAUUGUAGAUAACUCAAUAUAUGUGCUCUGAGUCGUGCAUAUCAGAGAAAGUUUCUCUAUCUUGUUUAAGGAUAUUUUUCCCUUUCAUGCUACCAUAUAGAAUCUUGACCUGUCAUGCAUCUUGCUAUCUAAGAGAUUUCCUUUAAUGUGUUGAGAAUAACAUAAUAUUUAUUUUUAAAAUCAGACUAACCCAUGACUAGAAUGCUGUAGAUUUGUAUCUCAAAUUGUUCUGCAGUUCUUUUUUAUGUAUGUAUGAUUGGGGUUUUGAUAUUCAGGGUUUUUCUAGUCCAGUGGUUCUUAUGUUUUGGGUUACAACCUCUUUAAGGGGGGGUCAUGUAUCUGAUAUCCUACAUAUCAGAUAUUUACAUUGUGACUCAUAACAGUAGCAACAUUACAGUUAUGAAGUAGCAAUGAGGUAAUUUUAUGAUGGGGGGGUUAACACAACCUGAAGAACUAUAUUAAAGGGUUGUAUGUUUAGGAAGAUUGACAACCAUAGUUCUAGUCUAUAUUCACUAAUUGUCAAAAACAAAAGGGUAUACAAUAAAUAAGCCCAUAUUUUUAUGUUCUUGCUAUGGAAAUCCUUUUUAUUGUGUUUUUAUAUUAGCCAUCAUUGGAUACAAACAUCACUUUUCCAAAAAUGUUCAAAUACAUUACAUCUACUGUUAGAACAAUGACCACAGCGUGUAAACCAUUUAAAAUGGUUUCUUGGAGGACUUGUAAGAGGGCUCGAAAGCUGAGCUACUACCUCCCAAUCAUGAGGAUCUGAGUUCAUAUCAUAGAUAUCGAUAUCUACCUGAAGGUCAGGUUCCAUAGUGCGAGUCUUUGAUUUCAGUGUUGAAUUGGAUGGACACAUGCAGAUCCCUGGAACACACUGGUGAGCCAGACUUGAGGAGUCAAUAAACUCAAGACUCAAAUCAGAGAUCCUAUCUCAAAAAAACAGAAUGGAAAACACACAAGAAAGACACCUGAUGUUGACCAUUAGCUUCCAAACAAAUGUACACACAUCUACACAUGCAUGUAUGGUACAUGUGUGUACAUAAUGCAGACAAACACACAUGCACAUGCAGAGGAGAGAGAGAGAGAGAGAGAGAGAGAGAGAGAGAGAGAGAAUAUAAGUUUUCCUAGUAUUUGUUACUACACUGGGAGGCCACUUCUCCUGACAAAAAACCCAAUUGAUUGAACAGUUUUCCAAAUUGUCCACUAACUCCAUAUCCUUGAGGCUUCACGGCUCACUUUUUUUCUAUUGAUAAUGACUGCGUGGUACAACCUAUAUUAAAGACAUCUUUACCAUGUAUAAUAAUUAAGAAAGUUCCUGUAUUUCACACAGGUUGUUUGUAGUCAACUUAGGACUGAAGCUGUGAGUACCAUGACUCAUUUCUGGGACAAUGAGAUAAGAGACUGUGAACACCUUGUGAAAGAGUACACAGCAGACAGGAAGCAUAUAUUUGAUAGGAGUUUCCUGAUGGCAUUUUUAGGAGAGUUUUCUUAUUCUUUCUAUGCAUUUAUAUGUGAUUAUUUAUGUGUGAUUAUGUAUUACAUGUGAUUAUUUUUUCUCUGAUUCCUCCAUUUUCACUUCCCUCCUGCCAUUACUGAUAAUUUCCAUUUUAUUUUUGAUACCAAGACUAUGGUAUUAACUACACACAGCAGUGUGUUCUAUCUGAGUGGAGUAGCCUUUAAAUAGUUCUUCCUUUGGAUCUAAAAAGUAGUAUUUACUGAAAAUAUUUUUCUAGUUUGUGUCAUUUUUUAAAAAAGAGUUGUAGACACAUCAGAUUUUGGCAAAUGUGUGUUCUCUGAUGAGGAAGUGACUGCCCCUUUCUGUGUCAUUUCCUAAGCUCUGAAACCUUGUUGACACCAAACUCCUUUGUGAAGGAGUCAACAUAAAGGUCUUUGAUAUUGUCCCUGACUCAGUAUUAGUGGACAUUGUAUGUCUGGCUGGCAGUUUUUCCCUGUGGUAAGGUCAGCCUCAUGUAGUAUUUCACAACCUUCUUGUGCGUCAGUGAGAAUCAAAGGACUCCUUAGAGUGAAAGACAAAAGCUUGGCUUGGAGUCCUUAGAUGAGCAAUCCCUGAGCAAGACAUGGGACUUAGAUUCUACCGUCAAUGUUCAUUUGUCAUUCAUUAUGAGAAAUUAGCUUUUGUAAAAGUAUUCUUCAAUUUUUAUUAUGAUUUUUUUGGGGGGGAACAGAUAUUGAAAUUAUGUUACUCACUUUACUUCCUGAUCUCACCACCCUUCUCUUCUCCCAUUUCCACCCUUACAAAUCUCUCUACCCAUUACCCUCUCCUCUUCUCAGAGAAGUGGGACCACCCUGGGACCUCCAGUCGGCAGCAUAGACCUAAGCACAUCUCACACUGAGGCUCAACUAGGUAGUCUAUUUAGGAGAAAGAAAUCCAAUAUCCGACAACUGAGCCAGAGAUCUCAUCUUCUCCAAUGGUUAGUGAACCGACAUGAAGGCCAAGCUGCACAUCUGCCACAAAUGUACAGGGAGCCUAGGUCUAGCCCUUGUAUGUUCUUUGGUUGGUGGUUCAGCCUCUGUGAGUCCACCAAGUUUUAUCUUUACUAUAGGGAUUCAUUAUCUACAGUUUGAUUUCUCUCCUUGAUGGAACAUUGGGAAACAUGUUGGAUCAGGAUAAUUUUGUAGAGAAGGCAGUAGGUGGUCACGUAGAAGUCCUUUUCAGGCACUCAUAGAAGGACCACUUGUUUCACCCAUUAUCUACUCUCUGAGACAGAAGUAACUAUUUCCCUCACCAGGAUGGUAAUGAGUGGGAAAAAAAUGCCAUGGUAGAGCAUAAACUACCAUGAAUUUUCAAUUCAGAAAAAAGGUUCUACUGUUCCUUGGUGUGUUUAAAAAGAUUUAUUUUAUUUUUAUGUAUGUUUUUGUAUAUGCUACUCUGUGUAGAUACCUAUACAGAGCAGAAAAGAACAUAAAAUUUUCUGGAGCUGGAGUUAAACGUAGUAUUGCUGCACUCAAAAUGGAUACUGGGAACCAAAUUCAGGUUCUCUAGAAUUGCUCUUACCCACUAAGCCAUCUUUCCUCUCCCAUGGGCUUUUGUUCUUAGGGGCCAGAAGAGUUUUCCUGUCUAUUGCUUGUGAGAAGGUCAAAGUGAUGGUGGGACUUUUCAACAUUUACAAUAUUGUGAUCUCAAAGGAACUAUUGUGACAUUUGGCCACCGUGAUAUUUUGCACCAUUGCUUUGCCUUGACUUUGUUCCUUGACUGUGAAAAUAUAAAUGUUAUGAAUUUGAGCAUCCUGCCACUCCUGCCGUAGUUUGUGGCCAUUAUGCUUUAGGUAAUUUGUUUUCUCCAGUUGUUCCUGACACUCAUCCCUCUAUGAGUAGGAAGAACAAUGGACACACACACAGACACUUUUCUUUAUUGAGAGGAAAGUGUGUAUGUCUGAAAAAAGGGGGCGAUUUAUUUUAAGACAUGGAAUUGGGUAGAUCAAUGUAGAAAACUAUAAAUAAAACCUCACAUUGGAAAUAAAAUGAUCAUGGGGCUGACAGUCAUCUUUAUAACAAGAGUGUUUGCCACCAAAGUCUCAUUUGGUGAAGGUGAACAAGCAUCCUUAGGGAUGCCUUGCCUGGUCUCCAUCUAUCAUUCUGAGUCACUCCUAAGCCAGUUUUGCUAUCAGAACAUGACUUCCCAGCCUUCCUAUAUGGUCCAAGUUCUCCUUCACCCCAAGAAUUCAGCUAAUGAACAUUGAACAGCCAAAAACUAUUUUGAGAAGAGAUUCUUUUUGAAAAUUGCUAUCAUUAAGGUAUAAGCCAUAUGAACUCAAGGGGUGGCAAAGACCUGAGCAGUGUCUUUGUUCAUUAAGACAGACAUAUUUAUAUGAGCAGUAAUGAUGACAGCAUAUCAGCAUCUACAUGAUAUAAAGCAGAAUGCAGAUGCAAUUAGACGGCACUGACAGUCCAAUUGUAAUUAUGUAAAUAACACCUAGUUUUACUCUGCAUCUCUCAUCUCUAGGCGUAUAAGUAAGAGGGUUAUGGGAAAUAAGUUAGUGCUAGGCAGAAAUGUCUGGCUAUUUAUUUGUGGCUAGGACAGUAUCCUGAAGCUUACAUUUCUCUGAUUUAUGCUUUCAUCCACCAUCCCAUGGGUCUCACAGAGAGAACAUGCAAAUAUGUGUUUGUUGUUCAACCUGCAGCCCGUGGCAGGAAUCCCAGGGUAGCUAUGAAUGCAGUGCAAUGCAUUAGUAGAUGACAAGGACAUAUCUUAAAGUCUCCUGAGAGAACAUUGGUGAAGAUACAGCAUGUGCAGGAAGACUGCAGCUCCAUGGUAUUCCUGCUCAAGCUCUUCUGCUUCCUGUUUGGGUUUUCCUUUAUUAAGACUACUACUUUCUACCUUCCUUUUGCUCACAAAGUUUUAAAUUGUCCUACCUGAGGAUGAUUCCUGUGUCUAGCUGUCUAUCAAGCUUCCCAUCACAAAGUUAAAGCAUUUGAUUGGUUUUUUUAAGUGAAUACAGAUGCCAACAGGAGUGUAGCCUUGAUUGAUGCUAAUUAUAAGUCUAUAAUGGUUCCUCCGCUUUAGCCACUGCCUCUGCAGGUUGUGAUUUUUAUGGGUAAAGUAACUGCUGGUCAACAGCUUAAUCAUAAGUUCUGGCCUAUCUUUCCUUCAGUGAUUCUCUGUUCGGUUGUGUAAUCCCAGGAACAUACAUUAUCGUCAUUAAAGGCAACGUUCCUUUGAGUGAUUAAUGCAUUUAUAAGGAGCCUGAAGUAUCUUUGUUGUGAUCCCAGCAUCGGUUGUGGUCGCUGGGCUUUCUGGGUAUUAAAGCUACCUGCAAUGU